This 325-nucleotide ribosomal RNA is filed under the name uncultured bacterium. RNAcentral describes it as "bacterial SSU rRNA". It matches the Rfam family "Bacterial small subunit ribosomal RNA", at positions 30 to 334 of the family's 1533-position model. The record is from RNAcentral.
AUUGGACGCUGGCGGCAUGCUUAACACAUGCAAGUCGAACGGAAACAGGACGCUAGGAUUCCUUCGGGAUGACUUUGUCGCUGUCGAGUGGCGGACGGGUGAGUAAUGCGUAGAAAUUUGCCUUGAAGUGGGGGAUAGCCCGGAGAAAUCCGGAUUAAUACCGCAUGCGCUCUAAGGAGCAAAGCGGGCCUCUUCUUGAAAGCUCGCGCUUUGAGAUAAGUCUACGUCGGAUCAGCUUGUUGGUAGGGUAAAGGCCUACCAAGGCGACGAUCCGUAGCUGGUUUGAGAGGAUGAUCAGCCACACUGGGACUGAGACACGGCCCAG